CUCCUGUGAUCGUUUCGGCAGAAGAUAUACUAAAAUUGGACCGAUACAAAGAAGAUUACCAUGGCUUAUGCACAAGGAUGGCACACAAAUUCUUGAAACAGAAAAAGGUGCU
Molecule: small nuclear RNA, 112 nt
Filed under: Sorex araneus (European shrew)
Lineage: Eukaryota; Metazoa; Chordata; Mammalia; Eulipotyphla; Soricidae
Source: RNAcentral